This 497-nucleotide ribosomal RNA is filed under the name uncultured bacterium. RNAcentral's name for it is "partial 16S ribosomal RNA". It matches the Rfam family "Bacterial small subunit ribosomal RNA", at positions 28 to 507 of the family's 1533-position model. The record is from RNAcentral.
GAUGAACGCUGGCGGCGUGCCUAAUACAUGCAAGUCGAGCGAACAGACGAGGAGCUUGCUCCUCUGACGUUAGCGGCGGACGGGUGAGUAACACGUGGAUAACCUACCUAUAAGACUGGGAUAACUUCGGGAAACCGGAGCUAAUACCGGAUAAUAUAUUGAACCGCAUGGUUCAAUAGUGAAUGACGGUUUUGCUGUUACUUAUAGAUGGAUCCGCGCCGCAUUAGCUAGUUGGUAAGGUAACGGCUUACCAAGGCAACGAUGCGUAGCCGAUCUGAGAGGGUGAUCGGCCACACUGGAACUGAGACACGGUCCAGACUCCUACGGGAGGCAGCAGUAGGGAAUAUUCCGCAAUGGGCGAAAGCCUGACGGAGCAACGCCGCGUGAGUGAUGAAGGUCUUCGGAUCGUAAAACUCUGUUAUUAGGGAAGAACAAAUGUGUAAGUAACUAUGCACGUCUUGACGGUACCUAAUCAGAAAGCCACGGCUAACUACGUG